RNAcentral lists this ribosomal RNA (773 nucleotides) under Cucullanus opisthoporus. Its description in RNAcentral is "eukaryotic LSU rRNA". It matches the Rfam family "Eukaryotic large subunit ribosomal RNA", at positions 365 to 965 of the family's 3401-position model. The record is from RNAcentral. Lineage: Eukaryota; Metazoa; Nematoda; Chromadorea; Rhabditida; Cucullanidae.
UGCAAAGAACUUUGAAGAGAGGGUUAAAAAGGACGUGAAACCGCUAAGAAGGAAACCGAUAGAGUUGACGCAACCUGGCGGCAUUCAGGCGGUUGGUCUAGCGGGCUGGCAUUUGUGCUCCUCGAUGAGGGUGCGGGUGCCUGGCCCUGCCGGACCGACUACUGCAUUUGCCGUCAGUAUGCGCCGAGAGUCGCGCUGGCUGCGGACGAGCCUCGCGCAGAGGUCCGCCUCAGGGUGGAAACCUGUGCGUGGGUAAGCCGAUUGCCGGUGCGAUUUUUGCGACUAGUGUGCCAUCUCCGCCUGUGUGCGCUGCGUGGGUUACGGUGGGCAGCUGUGCGAGCGGUCGCGUGCGAUCUGUUUGCGCUUCUGUUGGCCGUGGUGCCUGCGUGGUGCGCUGAGAUGGUGUCUCGGUGUGAAAGUCGACCACCUAUCGGACCCGUCUUGAAACACGGACCAAGAAGUUUAGCAUAUGCGCGAGUCAUUGGGUGCGAAACCUAAAGGCGUAAUGAAAGUGAAAUCCUGGUGAGCGAUAUGGGAUCCGCUGCGGAGUUUGCCGCGCGGCGAACCAUGGCCCCGUUCCGACUGCUUGCAGUGGGGCGGAGGUAGAGCGCAUAUGCUGAGACCCGAAAGAUGGUGAACUAUGCCCGAGCAGGACGAAGCCAGAGGAAACUCUGGUGGAGGUCCGAAGCGGUUCUGACGUGCAAAUCGAUCGUCUGACUCAGGUAUAGGGGCGAAAGACUAAUCGAACUAUCUAGUAGCUGGUUCCCUUCGCA